GAUGAACGCUGGCGGCGUGCCUAAUACAUGCAAGUCGAGCGAACGGACGAGAAGCUUGCUUCUCUGAUGUUAGCGGCGGACGGGUGAGUAACACGUGGAUAACCUACCUAUAAGACUGGGAUAACUUCGGGAAACCGGAGCUAAUACCGGAUAAUAUUUUGAACCGCAUGGUUCAAAAGUGAAAGACGGUCUUGCUGUCACUUAUAGAUGGAUCCGCGCUGCAUUAGCUAGUUGGUAAGGUAACGGCUUACCAAGGCAACGAUGCAUAGCCGACCUGAGAGGGUGAUCGGCCACACUGGAACUGAGACACGGUCCAGACUCCUACGGGAGGCAGCAGUAGGGAAUCUUCCGCAAUGGGCGGAAGCCUGACGGAGCAACGCCGCGUGAGUGAUGAAGGUCUUCGGAUCGUAAAACUCUGUUAUUAGGGAAGAACAUAUGUGUAAGUAACUGUGCACAUCUUGACGGUACCUAAUCAGAAAGCCACGGCUAACUACGUGCCAGCAGCCGCGGUAAUACGUAGGUGGCAAGCGUUAUCCGGAAUUAUUGGGCGUAAAGCGCGCGUAGGCGGUUUUUUAAGUCUGAUGUGAAAGCCCACGGCUCAUUCGUGGAGGGUCAUUGGAAACUGGAAAACUUGAGUGCAGAAGAGGAAAGUGGAAUUCCAUGUGUAGCGGUGAAAUGCGCAGAGAUAUGGAGGAACACCAGUGGCGAAGGCGACUUUCUGGUCUGUAACUGACGCUGAUGUGCGAAAGCGUGGGGAUCAAACAGGAUUAGAUACCCUGGUAGUCCACGCCGUAAACGAUGAGUGCUAAGUGUUAGGGGGUUUCCGCCCCUUAGUGCUGCAGCUAACGCAUUAAGCACUCCGCCUGGGGAGUACGACCGCAAGGUUGAAACUCAAAGGAAUUGACGGGGACCCGCACAAGCGGUGGAGCAUGUGGUUUAAUUCGAAGCAACGCGAAGAACCUUACCAAAUCUUGACAUCCUUUGACAACUCUAGAGAUAGAGCUUUCCCCUUCGGGGGACAAAGUGACAGGUGGUGCAUGGUUGUCGUCAGCUCGUGUCGUGAGAUGUUGGGUUAAGUCCCGCAACGAGCGCAACCCUUAAGCUUAGUUGCCAUCAUUAAGUUGGGCACUCUAAGUUGACUGCCGGUGACAAACCGGAGGAAGGUGGGGAUGACGUCAAAUCAUCAUGCCCCUUAUGAUUUGGGCUACACACGUGCUACAAUGGACAAUACAAAGGGCAGCGAAACCGUGAGGUCAAGCAAAUCCCAUAAAGUUGUUCUCAGUUCGGAUUGUAGUCUGCAACUCGACUACAUGAAGCUGGAAUCGCUAGUAAUUGUAGAUCAGCAUGCUACGGUGAAUACGUUCCCGGGUCU
Molecule: ribosomal RNA, 1372 nt
Filed under: uncultured bacterium
Lineage: Bacteria
Description: bacterial SSU rRNA
Rfam family: Bacterial small subunit ribosomal RNA
Source: RNAcentral